This is a long non-coding RNA of Capsicum annuum, 839 nucleotides long. RefSeq lists it as uncharacterized. Lineage: Eukaryota; Viridiplantae; Streptophyta; Magnoliopsida; Solanales; Solanaceae. The record is from RefSeq and is a predicted model, not a curated record. The transcript has 3 exons.
UAAAGCAGUGCAUAUUAGUUAGAUGAGAUUCAGCUCUGAAGAUACGAGAAGAAAGUGGAUAUUAGAAGACGACAAACAAAAAGAAAACUAGCAUUAAACUCGCUGACCUUAUAAAAAUGUAGAACCUACGGAUUGCCAUGCGUAGGUACUAAGAAGCAGCUAUCGAGAGGAGAGAAACAACUUCUCGAAUGGUAUGCAGAGAAAGGUAAUAAUUUUUCAUGUAUGUGUUAGAAGGCAAUAAUUUGCAGACAUAUGGUCAAGAGUGACUUCUAUCAACGCUACAUAUGGUGGUGUAUCUGGUUGAAGACACAUUUCUUAUGAAUCAUAUGAUCUCGUCUUGCAGGCAUAACGUUGAUCCUGAGUACCUACAUAGUAAAAGCAGAUCGUACUUCAAAGACUUGUUAGUGUAGCCAGGGAAUAUUUUAAAUAUCAAAAACUUGUUAUUGCAACUAGAUCCACUGUUUUGAUGUUGUCAGAUUUUGAUGUACAAGGUGCCGAUUCCAAGAACAUCUUCUACUUGAGAGAAAUCAAUGACCACUGAUAAGAUUGUGGAAGCAUUAAAAGCUAACAAAAAUGCAAAGGUCGUAGUUGUUGGAGGAGGGUACAUCGGUCUCGAGCUUACUGCUGUACUGAGACUGAACAAUAUUGAAGUCGAUAUGGUUUAUCCAGAACCGUGGUGCAUGCCUCAGCCUUUUACCGAGGGCAUAGUUGCAUUCUAUGAAAGUUAACAACAACAACAACAACAAACCCAGUGUAUUCCCACCUAGUGGGGUCUGGGGGGUAAGAUGUACGCAGUCCAUACCUCUACCUCUAAAGAAGUAGAAAGGCCGUUUCCGAUA